GCUCAUUUAGUAUAACGGUUUAUUACAUCUGUUUUGUAAUCAGAAGAUGGAGGUUCGAUUCCUUUAAUGAGCU
Molecule: transfer RNA, 73 nt
Filed under: Cyanothece sp. SIO1E1
Lineage: Bacteria; Bacillati; Cyanobacteriota; Cyanophyceae; Gomontiellales; Cyanothecaceae
Description: tRNA-Thr
Rfam family: tRNA
About the family: Transfer RNA (tRNA) molecules are approximately 80 nucleotides in length. Their secondary structure includes four short double-helical elements and three loops (D, anti-codon, and T loops). Further hydrogen bonds mediate the characteristic L-shaped molecular structure. tRNAs have two regions of fundamental functional importance: the anti-codon, which is responsible for specific mRNA codon recognition, and the 3' end, to which the tRNAs corresponding amino acid is attached (by aminoacyl-tRNA synthetases). tRNAs cope with the degeneracy of the genetic code in two manners: having more than one tRNA (with a specific anti-codon) for a particular amino acid; and 'wobble' base-pairing, i.e. permitting non-standard base-pairing at the 3rd anti-codon position.
Source: RNAcentral